This 241-nucleotide ribosomal RNA is filed under the name uncultured bacterium. Its description in RNAcentral is "partial 16S ribosomal RNA". It matches the Rfam family "Bacterial small subunit ribosomal RNA", at positions 94 to 334 of the family's 1533-position model. The record is from RNAcentral.
AGUGGCGGACGGGUGAGUAACGCGUGGGUAACCUGCCUCAUACAGGGGGAUAACAGUUGGAAACGGCUGCUAAUACCGCAUAAGCGCACAGUACCGCAAUGGUACCGUGUGAAAAACUCCGGUGGUAUGAGAUGGACCCGCGUCUGAUUAGCUAGUUGGUGGGGUAACGGCCUACCAAGGCGACGAUCAGUAGCCGACCUGAGAGGGUGACCGGCCACAUUGGGACUGAGACACGGCCCAA